AUGAGGGUGCAGCAGGAGAUGUUGAGGUCUGUACAGGAGAUGUUGACAUCCCAGAAAAAUAGCCAUGUUGCUUUCCGGGAUUGCGUCUUGCACAAUCAAGCGGACCUGCUGGCGCAGGCGAACAGUUUAAGGUAACAGCUGGGCAACAAGAGCCUCGUGAAAGUGGUUUAUUUGCCCGACGACUGCCCUUCCCUGCCCGUCAACAGCCUGGAUGACCUGAGGGCCUUGAACGUGCACCUUGAAGCAAGAGACAAGCUUCAGCACAUGGUAGACUACUACAGCCAGAAGGGAGGCACCGACAAAAAUGCCGACACGCGGGCCUUGCUGACCUGCCUUGUCCACAACGAUGUGGC
Long non-coding RNA from Ixodes scapularis (black-legged tick), 353 nucleotides. RefSeq lists it as uncharacterized. NCBI's taxonomy places the organism in Eukaryota, Metazoa, Arthropoda, Arachnida, Ixodida, Ixodidae. The record is from RefSeq and is a predicted model, not a curated record. The transcript is spliced from 3 exons.